UGAACGCUGGCGGCAUGCCUAACACAUGCAAGUCGAACGGAAACGAUGGGAGCUUGCUCCCAGGCGUCGAGUGGCGGACGGGUGAGUAAUACUUAGGAAUCUACCCAGUAGCGGGGGACAACUCGGGGAAACUCGAGCUAAUACCGCAUACGCCCUACGGGGGAAAGCAGGGGAUCUUCGGACCUUGCACUAUUGGAUGAGCCUAAGUCGGAUUAGCUUGUUGGUGAGGUAAAGGCUCACCAAGGCGACGAUCCGUAGCUGGUCUGAGAGGACGAUCAGCCACACUGGGACUGAGACACGGCCCAGACUCCUACGGGAGGCAGCAGUGGGGAAUAUUGGACAAUGGGGGCAACCCUGAUCCAGCAAUGCCGCGUGUGUGAAGAAGGCCUGCGGGUUGUAAAGCACUUUCAGUAGAGAAGAAAAGCCUAGGGUUAAUAACCCUGAGUCUUGACGUUACCUACAGAAGAAGCUCCGGCUAACUCC
Molecule: ribosomal RNA, 483 nt
Filed under: uncultured bacterium
Lineage: Bacteria
Description: bacterial SSU rRNA
Rfam family: Bacterial small subunit ribosomal RNA
Source: RNAcentral